Molecule: long non-coding RNA, 672 nt
Organism: Galendromus occidentalis (western predatory mite)
Lineage: Eukaryota; Metazoa; Arthropoda; Arachnida; Mesostigmata; Phytoseiidae
Product: thiosulfate sulfurtransferase RDL2, mitochondrial
Exons: 6
Source: RefSeq, a predicted model, not a curated record
AUGCUAGCUCGGAAAGUCCUCUCCUCAGGAGCGCUCUCGCGAGCGACAAGAAGCAGACCCAUCAAGCCAUCGGAGCGCACCCUCAGCAUCCUCUCGUGCGCGAAACUGACCACCAGAGUGAACCCAGAAGUCUCUACUCGCCGACGCUACGCCGUCCCCGGACAAGGGCUUUCGAACAUCCGGCUCUUCAGCACUCCGCCUGAGGAAGGAGAGAUGUCACAUGCCGAGUUCAAAGAAUAUAUCGGGGGCCACUUCGCGCUCAUCGUAGACGUACGAGAACCUCACGAGUUGAAAGAGGAUGGGAGGAUUUACGGAACUGUCAAUAUACCUCUCGGCCAGCUAGAGGAUCAUUUGAAACUCGGUCCGAAGCUACUCGCAAGGAAGUACCAUUUAGCUAUAGACUUCGUGGAGGGGGGAGGCAACUUCAUAUUUCUGUGCAAGGCUGGCGUCCGAGCUGCUAAAGCCGUAGAGAUUGCAAGGAAGAACGGUUUCCCCAAAGCUAGAUUCUACAAAGGGAGUAUCCUCGACUGGAAGGCGAGAGGGGAGCCAAUAAUCAAGAACUAAGUGACCGUCUUGCGGAUAGGAACUCCGACUCCUUCCGGGAUGUGUUCGCACUUCUCACUUUCGAUAGGGAAAAAACUUGUACAAUAAAAUUUGAGGAAUAUAAAUAUU